This 369-nucleotide long non-coding RNA is filed under the name Triticum aestivum (bread wheat). RNAcentral's name for it is "long non-coding RNA (TAES_LNC021918)". The record is from RNAcentral. Lineage: Eukaryota; Viridiplantae; Streptophyta; Magnoliopsida; Poales; Poaceae.
CGUUCAACCCGGCGUACGAGGACGCGUCGGUGCUGUGGACGGAGAGCAAGGACGUGGGCAAGGGUUUCCGCUGCAUCCGCAUGGUCAACAACACCCGCCUCAACUUCGACGCCCUCAACGGCGACAAGGACCACGGCGGCGUGCACGACGGCACCACCGUCGUGCUCUGGGAGUGGUGCAAGGGGGACAACCAGUGCUGGAAGAUCUGGCCGUGGGCCGAGGCGCACGCCGCCGUCGAGUCCGGCGCCACCAUGGGCAACAACGCCCACGCCAUGGGCGGCGGGCCCCCCGUGCACGCCGUGCGCAUCUUCUGCAAGGCCGGCGAGGACUACAGCCUCACCGCCCGCAACGGCACCGUCUGCCUCGCCC